GACGAACGCUGGCGGCGUGCUUAACACAUGCAAGUCGAACGGAAAGGCCCUGCUUUUGUGGGGUGCUCGAGUGACGAACGGGUGAGUAACACGUGAGUAACCUGCCCUUGACUUUGGGGUAACUUCAGGAAACUGGGGAUAAUACCGGAUAGGAGCUCCUGCUGCAUGGUGGGGGUUGGAAAGUUUCGGCGGUUGGGUAUGGACUCGCGGCUUAUGAGCUUGUUGGUGGGGUAGUGGCUUACCAAGGCUUUGAAGGGUAGCCGGCCUGAGAGGGUGACCGGGCACAUGGGCCUACGGGAGGGAGCAGUACGGCAUCGGGGGGCAAGGGUGGGAGAUAGUGCACACGGGGCAGAGUGCUGGUGCAGCAACGCCGGGUGCGGAAUGACGGCCUUCGGGUUGUAAACCGUUUGCGCCUGUGACGGAGCGUGAGGGCCGGUAAUGGGUAAAAAGGCACCGCCAACUUACGU
RNAcentral lists this ribosomal RNA (467 nucleotides) under uncultured bacterium. Its description in RNAcentral is "partial 16S ribosomal RNA". It matches the Rfam family "Bacterial small subunit ribosomal RNA", at positions 28 to 506 of the family's 1533-position model. The record is from RNAcentral.